UUGUGUAAUGGAUUGAAGAGGAGCUCUUUUUUAUCUCUUUUUUUACGGGAUAAAAAAGCGGGAACGGAAAGCCUGACCCGUA
This 82-nucleotide small RNA is filed under the name Flavobacterium sp. 5. RNAcentral's name for it is "Flavo-1 RNA". The record is from RNAcentral. Lineage: Bacteria; Pseudomonadati; Bacteroidota; Flavobacteriia; Flavobacteriales; Flavobacteriaceae.